This 3428-nucleotide long non-coding RNA is filed under the name Equus asinus (donkey). RNAcentral describes it as "lncRNA (ENSEASG00005023704.1)". The record is from RNAcentral. Lineage: Eukaryota; Metazoa; Chordata; Mammalia; Perissodactyla; Equidae.
GGAGCAAGGACACCCGUCCCUUUCUAGUUCCUACUGAAUGAUGGAUGUGGGAGAGACAUCCCCUGGAAGGGCAGUCGGGAAAUGGCGGCGGAAGAGGAAGAAUUCCACUCCCCGCCCUCUUCUUUUCCCUACGGUUCUCGUGGCUGGUCAAAUUUUUUAAAAGGCAGGUUACCAGGAGGAAAUCAAAGGUUAAUUAACAUGUAUACUUGGGAGAAACCCAGGCAACCUGAGCAGCUCGCCAGAAUGGGCGAAGCUGCCACCUUAGUACGCAUCUUGAGCUAAAGACAAAGGAGGAGGAUGGGGGUAGUGGUUUGGGAUUUCAGAGGGGAGGAAGACAAUUUCCUUGGAGAUGGCAAUGCAAACGUUUGUCAACCAAGUUUUUGCUGGGCCCCAAAUGGGCUGCUUGUUGCCUUUCUACCACACCUAUUUUUCAUUAUACUAUAGCUAUCUUAUGGUUCUAGCUCCUUCCUGGAACAGGCCUUGACAAAUAGAGAUGGUAAGCAAUAGGAUAUAGUGGAGUAUACGAGGAAGCCAUUUGGUGUAAACCUAAUUCGGCCUGACUUUGGUUUUUCCAAAAGGGCCUGACGUGGCCAUUGAGCAUGCAUUGUAGAUCUGCUUUAAACACGGCAAGAACGAAGGCCCUUAAGAUAAAGGUGCAACUUCCGCCCACACUGGCAUUUCCUUAAGGAUAAGCAUCUCUCCCUAGGCUAGGAACUGACUGUUGCGCUCACCUUUGAGCACCCAGCUCACCAGUGACCACCCAGCUAGAGACUACAGACCUGCCACCCUGCUGUGUCCACCGAGACAGCAGACCUACCGGCUGUGUCCAUCAAUCGCUGUGCCCACAGAGCAGCCUCACGACUAUUGUAAAAGGGACAUUUCAAUCACACGUGAAACAUCCUCUUUGGGGGUAUACAACGACUCUGUACACCCCACUUCUUCGGCGCCCUUUCUUCCUUCGGGAAGGCUCUGGGCCACGGUCCUCACAUUUUAGCUCAGAAUAUACUCACCCACAUUGUCAUUUACAGAUUGGUUACGGAUUAUGUUCAUCAACAGCCUUCUCCGUUAAAUUCUUUUAAGCAGCUUGGGGGGAAGGUCAAAUGUUCUUCCUGAGUCUUCCGAGCCUUUGUCCGUCUUCAGCUCGGAUACCAGAGCGCCACGUCCUGGGGCAGCCUGUCUUGAACCCCGUCAAAACCCUGCCCGCAGCAUUUUAACGAGUACAGGAAGAGCAUGGAGACAGAAGAGAGAAGAAAUUCUUGCAGAAAAUGCAGGAUUUCAGCAUUCGGGGAGAGGUGAAGGAAAAGGGCAGAGAAGACCAAGGUCUAAGGCAGGAGGAAGUGACAUCCCUUAGGUUUUGCGCUGAGCCGACAAAGCACUGCACUGAGCCUCGCUCAGUAUGGCGCUGUUCGUGAAGACCGCCGAACAGCAGCACAAAACAAAGUGCACAAUUAAGCUGCGGGACUACCCACACACACACACACAGAGCUCGAGCCUCGGUAAGUCUCUAAAAACAAAUUUCUUCCGUCGUUCCAUACGCACAACAAGAAAGCAAAAACACAGCCGUGGCGUACGCUUACGUCUCUCGCAGAAUAGAAAAACGGAAACGCUCACAAUCUUUCUUUUAAAACCCUGUUAUUCCCCCGUGGGGGUGCACCGUUCCUGGAGGUACUGCAAUACCAGGUCGAUGCGCGGAGUGGACGGAGCAAGCUCCUAUUCCAUCUCCCUGCUCCAAAAAUCCAUUUAAUAUAUUGUCCUCGGAUAGAGGACGUAUCAGAUAUUAAACUGAUAAGAACAGAUACUACACUUGAUCUUAGCCAAAAGGCCGAGAAGCGAUACUCCCCGCCCAGGCCUCCCCGCCGCCGGCCUCCUACCACGCACUUUCAACUCACGGUGAGUCGCCGGACGCUCAGCCCAGGUCUCACUUCCUUUGCUUCUGCGACAAUCCUCUGAGAAUUCACCACACAGUCGGCUCUGGUGCAGAUUUUCAAUCCUCCGGAUUUUUAAAGAGAACUUACCUACCUGUUGUUGCCCCGUCGUUCUGGGACGGAAACGCCAUUCUGAAUCUGCAUGCCCCGCCCUUUCCCGCCCGAGGAGGCGUGGCUACGGCGGGUCCGCCGUACCUCCCGGGCCGCCUCCGCGCGCCCUCAGCGGGAGCUGGGCUUCUCUUUCGUGCCAACGGAGAGAAAAGUCAGCACCGCGGCCGCGAAGGCCGGGCGGCGGCAAGAGGGCCUGAGGAAGGCAGCUGGCGGCGGACAGUUUCCCGAAGGCACACGGGGUCGCGAGACGGCUUCACCGGAAACGCCCGGACUGUAUCGUGUUACAUCGGGUGUCCGCGGGCGGAAAGACGAGCUUGGGAGGCGGCGGAGGAGGGGCUCACCGAUUCAGGGAGCCGAAGGUCUUGGGGGCGUCCCCCCGAGCGGCGGGGCCAGCCUGCGCGCCGGGCGGAGGGCGCAGGGCGCAGGGCGCAGGGCGGAGGGCGGAGGGCGGAGGGCGGAGGGCGGAGGGGGGCGCAGGGCCGGCGGUGGGGAGGGGCGGGGAGGCGUGUCUGGGGGCGGGGCGGCCGCAUGGAUUCUCUCCGCCUCCGGCACCUGCGUCUCUGGGUGCUUCUGGGGAGGAACCGUGUCCUGGGCUGCGUCCCUCGAGCUCCCCGUGCCUGGGACAUGGUUUCCCUACAGCUCUUCCUCACCUGGCAGAUACUCUGCACCCUGCUUGGCUGUCACUUCUUGCAGAAAGCCUGCCUUAAGGGCCCUGCCGCCCCCGCCCCCAGUCUCGGUAGCGGCCUUCCUACGUAUUUCAUCCCACCCGCACCGGUCCGGCGCCCCGCGGGUAGGAGAUGCUCCGCAAAGGUUUGCUCGCUGAAUUAAAGAUGCGCAAGAGGGACUGAAUCAGAGAAGAAGUUAGGAGGCUGCUGGCCCGAUGCGGGGGUGAAGAAGGGAAGAUCUGGCCAGGGGCGGCAGGACACCAGAGAGGAGAGGCGACUGCCGGGGAUGCUCUGGGCGGGCAUCAAGGCCCGUCGAUGCGUUAAGGCCUCUGGCCAAGUUGGGGUAAAGGUUCCCCCUGUGGCGAAGACCGCCGGCUGCCCGCUCAGCCUUUCCCGUCCGCCCUCCUAAGAGAGGUUCCGUGUAGCGGGGGAGUUGAUGUUGCUUUCAUCUGGUCUCAGAAGAGCUAGGCGGUAUCGUGGGUGUAAGACUGAAGCCCCGUCGGUCGUUUCACUCUGCAGCACGGGAAGCCUGAUGGCAGGUGCUGCCCGAGCCCUCCGGAUGCCAGCCCCUGGGCUGAGGGCUCUCCGUGUAUUAGCGCAGUUAAUUCCCUCGAGGGCCGAGGGCCGGUGAGGUGGGUAUUGUUGUUGUCAGUAUCUAGGGCCAGGAGUAGGGGGAGGCCGGGGAGGCACUCUCCUUGGGGGAGGGAGGGAUUGACGGGAGUGCCCC